Molecule: unclassified non-coding RNA, 423 nt
Filed under: Hevea brasiliensis (rubber tree)
Lineage: Eukaryota; Viridiplantae; Streptophyta; Magnoliopsida; Malpighiales; Euphorbiaceae
Source: RNAcentral
GGAAGAGUGAAAUUCACGCCAUUGAACCACCGAUUCUACAUUGAAUUGCUCUCCUCCCCUCCCCUCCUCCCUGCUCACCACCAAACCCUAGAGAAAUUCCUCUUUUCCCGAAACCCUAAUCCUAGAUCGGGGCCGAGGGCUUCUAGUUCGGUUUUUGUGGUUUAAGUGACUAGAUUUGGGGUUGGCGAUGGAGCCCCGGGUGGGGAACAAGUUCCGGCUGGGCCGGAAGAUCGGGAGUGGCUCUUUCGGCGAGAUCUAUCUAGGAACGAAUAUUCAGACGAACGAGGAGGUUGCGAUUAAGCUUGAAAAUGUCAAGACGAAGCAUCCCCAGUUGCUAUAUGAAUCAAAGCUCUACAGGAUCUUACAAGGAGGAACUGGAAUUCCCAAUGUCAGAUGGUUCGGUGUUGAAGGAGAUUACAAUGU